UACGUAGGGUGCAAGCGUUGUCCGGAAUUAUUGGGCGUAAAGCGCUCGCAGGUGGUUUCUUAAGUCUGAUGUGAAAGCCCACGGCUCAACCGUGGAGGGUCAUUGGAAACUGGGGAACUUGAGUGCAGGAGAGAAGAGUGGAAUUCCACGUGUAGCGGUGAAAUGCGUAGAGAUGUGGAGGAACACCAGUGGCGAAGGCGACUCUUUGGCCUGUAACUGACACUGAGGCGCGAAAGCGUGGGGAGCAAACAGG
RNAcentral lists this ribosomal RNA (253 nucleotides) under uncultured bacterium. Its description in RNAcentral is "partial 16S ribosomal RNA". It matches the Rfam family "Bacterial small subunit ribosomal RNA", at positions 524 to 776 of the family's 1533-position model. The record is from RNAcentral.